Molecule: long non-coding RNA, 377 nt
Organism: Anthonomus grandis grandis
Lineage: Eukaryota; Metazoa; Arthropoda; Insecta; Coleoptera; Curculionidae
Exons: 2
Source: RefSeq, a predicted model, not a curated record
GAAAUCACGAUCAAACAAAAACUACCGAUAAAAUCCUGGAAGAAAAAUGUUUAUGGUCAAAUUUAUGGGUGCAACAAAAAAAUACAAAUAGGGAUUGGAAGCUGAUAAAGGACAUCAAAUAACCAAUGACUUUUUUUUGAUUGAACAUUGAAACACGCACAUGGGGAAAGAUUGAAUAGUUAAUAGAAUACCAUGUGAAAGGGAGAAAUAUGGGUAGAUAGGGGCACGUUCAUGUGCCCCCUCUUAGUUUGGAUUAUGGACAUAUCAAGGGAAUAAUAGAUUUAAAAUCAAACUGUAGAAAUACAAUUGAGAAUACAUUUGUGACCAUAUGCAUUUGCCGAUACUAUACAGCUUUAUGAAUACAGCUUUAUGAUAGA